Molecule: ribosomal RNA, 495 nt
Filed under: uncultured bacterium
Lineage: Bacteria
Description: partial 16S ribosomal RNA
Rfam family: Bacterial small subunit ribosomal RNA
Source: RNAcentral
GACGAACGCUGGCGGCGUGCCUAAUACAUGCAAGUAGAACGCUGAAGGAGGAGCUUGCUUCUCUGGAUGAGUUGCGAACGGGUGAGUAACGCGUAGGUAACCUGCCUGGUAGCGGGGGAUAACUAUUGGAAACGAUAGCUAAUACCGCAUAAUAGCAGUUAUUGCAUGAUAACUGUUUGAAAGGUGCAAUUGCACCACUACCAGAUGGACCUGCGUUGUAUUAGCUAGUUGGUGGGGUAACGGCUCACCAAGGCGACGAUACAUAGCCGACCUGAGAGGGUGAUCGGCCACACUGGGACUGAGACACGGCCCAGACUCCUACGGGAGGCAGCAGUAGGGAAUCUUCGGCAAUGGACGGAAGUCUGACCGAGCAACGCCGCGUGAGUGAAGAAGGGUUUCGGAUCGUAAAGCCCUGUUGUAAGAGAAGAACGAGUGUGAGAGUGGAAAGUUCACACUGUGACGGUAUCUUACCAGAAAGGGACGGCUGACUACGUG